RNAcentral lists this ribosomal RNA (395 nucleotides) under Chrysochromulina parva. RNAcentral's name for it is "partial small subunit ribosomal RNA". It matches the Rfam family "Eukaryotic small subunit ribosomal RNA", at positions 30 to 432 of the family's 1831-position model. The record is from RNAcentral. Lineage: Eukaryota; Haptophyta; Prymnesiales; Chrysochromulinaceae.
GCUUGUCUCAAAGAUUAAGCCAUGCAUGUCUAAGUAUAGUACCUUAUACUGCGAAACUGCGAAUGGCUCAUUAAAUCAGUUAUAAUUCAUUUGAUGGUACUUACUACUCGGAUAACCGUAGUAAUUCUAGAGCUAAUACGUGCGUAAAUCCCGACUUCUGGAAGGGACGUAUUUAUUAGAUAAGAAACCUUCCCCUUUGGGUUGCGUGCCGAGUCACAAUAACUGCUCGAAUCGCAUGGCUUCACGCCGGCGAUGGUUCAUUCAAAUUUCUGCCCUAUCAGCUUUCGAUGGUAGGAUCGAGGCCUACCAUGGCGUUUACGGGUAACGGAGAAUUAGGGUUCGAUUCCGGAGAGGGAGCCUGAGAGAUGGCUACCACAUCCAAGGAAGGCAGCAGG